Molecule: ribosomal RNA, 644 nt
Filed under: uncultured bacterium
Lineage: Bacteria
Description: bacterial SSU rRNA
Rfam family: Bacterial small subunit ribosomal RNA
Source: RNAcentral
AGGCAUCUCUUAAAUAUCAAAGGUGAGCCAGUACAGGAUGGACCCGCGUCUGAUUAGCUAGUUGGUAAGGUAACGGCUUACCAAGGCGACGAUCAGUAGCCGACCUGAGAGGGUGAUCGGCCACAUUGGAACUGAGACACGGUCCAAACUCCUACGGGAGGCAGCAGUGGGGAAUAUUGCACAAUGGGCGAAAGCCUGAUGCAGCAACGCCGCGUGAGUGAUGAAGGCCUUCGGGUCGUAAAACCCUGUCCUCAAGGAAGAUAAUGACGGUACUUGAGGAGGAAGCCCCGGCUAACUACGUGCCAGCAGCCGCGGUAAUACGUAGGGGGCUAGCGUUAUCCGGAUUUACUGGGCGUAAAGGGUGCGUAGGCGGUCUUUCAAGUCAGGAGUGAAAGGCUACGGCUCAACCGUAGUAAGCUCUUGAAACUGGGAGACUUGAGUGCAGGAGAGGAGAGUGGAAUUCCUAGUGUAGCGGUGAAAUGCGUAGAUAUUAGGAGGAACACCAGUUGCGAAGGCGGCUCUCUGGACUGUAACUGACGCUGAGGCACGAAAGCGUGGGGAGCAAACAGGAUUAGAUACCCUGGUAGUCCACGCUGUAAACGAUGAGUACUAGGUGUCGGGGGUUACCCCCUUCGGUGCCGCAG